GAAGUACACGCACAUACGUAUAUAUAUAUAUUCGGUGUCCACCAGAUUCCGACUGGUUCUGGUUGACUGUCGUGUGCGCCCCCCUCGCAGAAAAGCUCCUCAAAAUCUUUCACAAACACAACAUACAUAUAUACGUACGUACGUACACCCGCUUCCUCUGCAACUUGCUGUUUUUCUUGUGCCACGGGGGAGGGCCACGGCAUACCGGGUCGACUCCGAUCCUCCCCACUCUUCAGCCGCCGCCCUCGCCUUUGUUGCUCCUCCUCUCUGCGGCCGUUUUCUGCGGCCCAGUCUCCACGCCCCCCCCCCCCGCCUCUUUUCAUCUUCACCGGCUUUCUUUGUUUGCCGGCGUGCGCAGGAGGGGAGGAGAAGGGAUAGCUCGUUCUGCUUGGCUUGUCUUUCUUUGUUGUUUUUGUCGUGCCCUGCUUCAGAGAAGAUCGAUCUCCGGUGUCUUGGGGCAGCGGUGCGCGCGUGUGUGUACAUAGUGGAAGUGACAGACACACAUACGCACGCAUCUCCCUCCGUCUUGCUGUGCUUCCUUGCUCUCUCUUUCUCAAUCUGCCAGGAAUCUGCUGCUCCUCCACGCGCCUCUUCACCCACGUCAGUUUUGGGAACCCUCCCCUUCGCUCUCCUCUCCCCCUCCCCCUCCCCCUCCCCUCCGCAUCUUCUCGUUCUGCGGUGUUGACAGAAAGCGCACGCUUCUUUCGCUCUCUUUUUUUUUCUGCUUCCAUUUCUUCUUCGUAUAUUCCCUUCGUGGCAGCCGCAUCGGCAUCACGCCAGCCGUUGCGCUUGAGUGUGCCGUCUCACGUGCUCCACAAAAACGAAGGAGGAAAGACGCGAAGAGCAGAGAAGUAAGGAGGCUGUGCGUGUGUAUGCGUGAGGGAGGUAGGGAGGAAGGGAGCGGGGUGUAGUGCGCGUAGUCUUUAAGAGCUGCAGCGGAAGGCCGUGUUCUCGGCACGAGAUGGACGAUUCCAGAAAAGCAGAUCAGCAGCAGAGGGGCGUGGAUGCCAUGGGAAAGCCAGUGACCGUCAAGGUGCCGCUACCGGCUCUGCUGGAUAUCAAGGCGGAAGCCCUGCGCUCGAACCCGUCUUUCUUCGUCACGUGCUUCUCCACGCUGCUGACAGCGGUGCUGCUGGGGUUGUGCUUCAUGAUUGUUGGGAUUCCACCCCUGUACAUUGCCGUUCGUCGAGGUAGGUGCAUCUACGUGGGUGUCAUGGUGCCCCUGCUGACAGUGAUCGGCACAGUGCUGAGCUACUACGCCAUGCAGCACCCGCAGCGCGUGUUCAACUCAUCGUUGGCACAGAUCGUUAAGGAAAUGGAGCAACACGCAACGUACUUGAGCACCGCGGUGGGCAACGUGGAGACAGAGUUGGAGACACGCCGGGUUACCCUGGGCUUGGCGUAUGCAGAUGAACCGGCCCGCAUGCGCAGUUUGCCGAUGACCCCAGAAGAGUCGGGGCUGCAGCACUUCUCUAGAAUUUCUAUGCCCGGGGGGGCGGCGGCAAGCAUGUCUGCCACACUACCCGCUAUUGGCGGCCCCGGCUUCCUUCACGGCAUCGACAAGCUCGAGGAGGAGCGGGACGUGAUCAUUGCCACCGUUCACGUAGGCAAGGAGUGGCGCUGGCUAAUGGGCCUGCUAGGGAAGCUGAACCUGCGGAGCUUAACGGGACCGACGAACCCCGCGGUGCAUCACCAACGCAUCGCCGUGCGCGCCCUGGCGAUCAGUGUCGCGCGGGUGGAGCGGAUGAUCUUGUCGCUGUACUUCUCCUCUUUUGUGCUGAGCCGGGCCAAUGCAGCUGCGCCGGUCAACCUGUUGGGCCUCGCUGCCUCCAAGAGCGUUGCAGGCUGCAGCUCUGGCUUCGGCCACAACGCAGGGAGGAACCAGGAGUCUGUGCACGGGCGCACCUCGACGUCGAUGUUCAAGCCGUCGGCGCCAAUCAUGACAUCGGUGAAGCUGCACCCCCCGCACACGCCCGGUAACGAGCUGGGUGACUCGUUCACGGAGAGCGUUUUCACCGUCCCCCGGGAGACGCCGAACGAGAGCAGAGACCGCGCGGAGAGCGGCGGCGCUGGCGAGGAGAUGACCUCGCAGCUCACCUCGCUAAAUGUGAAGGGCAUCCCCUUUGGGAGGGUGAAACUACCGCAGUUUCCGACGCUGACCACGGGAAGCACAGGCAGCAGAGAACCCCAGAAGCCGCACGCCCAUGCGCACGAGGAGCCGUCGGCGGCCAGGGGUGCAACCACUGCGUCAGCUCCGGUAGAACGUGUCUUGCACUUGGACACCGACGCCCAACUGACGGACGAGAAGGCACAGAGGCCGGACAGCACCUCCGCCAGCGAGCACAGCGUGCGCUCCCUUGCCGACACGAACAAGGCCGACGAAGCGGGUGACCAAGACGGAGGUAGCGGCGAUAGCUCACCGCUGGCGGUGGGCAAGGGGCGGCGCAGGUCAACCAUCAUCCCCUCAUCAUCGGUGGCGCACGCCGCGACGCUGUGCAUUCAGAGUCGCACCGUCGCCGCCGCGGACAACGUGGCGGAAAAGGCCUUCAUGGACGGCAACGCGGGGGGAAGGGGGGCCGUCUUGUCGCAUUGCUUGAGCAUCUCUGCGAAGCAUCUGGAGCAACAGCUGUCGAGUGGGAGAGAUAAUGGCGACAGCGUGGUAAGAAGCUGCACAGCGGCACCCCAUUCUGAUGGAAACGCCACCGGGGCUUCACCGAUAUCGUCUCCGCGGUCAAAACCAUGGCUGACUCGCCCCACGCGUAGCCGACAGCCCGGCUCCGCCGUCGUCGCAAACCCCUCUCUCACACUACACCGUGGGGCGCGCUUCAUCGGGGACGCGAGCAACGUCUUUGUCACAGUGCUCAUUCACGUGGAGAAGGGGAACUCGGCGUGUGGCUCUCGCCUCUACGGUGCACAGGCGCACGCCAGCUACGACGCAUCAGCGAACAAGCACUACUUCACCAACGGGGUCGACUCCUCGCUCACGCACUCCUGUGGCUUCCAUCCCUUCACAAUCUUCUACAUCUCCAAUCACAAAGGUCAGCGCGAAGGGCUGACCACGCGGGAGCAGCAACUGCUGCAGUUUGUGUACUGCCGUCCCGAAGAACCGUCGGAGCUAGACUCCGUAAGCCACCGUUGUGCGAUGGACUUGUCCUCGCUAGCGGUUCGCGGCCCCGGGCACAGCAGGGGAGACACGGCAGCAGCUGCCGCGACGACCCACGCGGGCAGCUCCACCGCCAGCUUCGCGCGCGAGACGGCGAGCCCGCCUAGCAGCACCCCGCACCGCGCCUCUAACGCCGUCUUUACAGAGCCGCGCGUGGACUCCUUUAUUGUCGCCAUGCAAAUCCUACAAGACCGCCCCAUGCGCCUCGCCUUCCUGCCUGUUGUCAUGGCACCGGUGCAGCCCAAGGGCACGUCGCUGGCCAACAACAACGCCACCAUGCAGCCGUUGAAAGUGACAUGUCGCACGGACUUGGAGAGCAGCGGCAAGGAACUGCACCUAACCAGUGGCGGCGGCAUCAGCAGCACGCCCACGGCGUCGGCGAUGACGAUGCCCGCGCGUGGCCGUCCCAGCAGCGGCGGCGUUGGCAGCUCCGAAGACGGCGCCACGAACUCCACGCCAGAGGCGGUCCGUCGAGCCCCGUCGCCCACGACAGUGCCGGUGCUGGAGUGCAUGAUCGACAAUGUGCUCUGCAUCUUGACAGAGAUAGAAAUCACCGUGGAUACCUCCUUCAAACGGCCAUCAAAGGUGCUUCUCAUUGGUGUGUCUCUGGAGGACGUAUCCGAGGAGGGCUCCGAGCGCGGCGAAAACGGCGUGGACGAAGACGAGGGAGUGUCUCAAGAUUCAGUGGAGGGUAGCACCGGGAGCCGAAGUCUCGAGGGCGCUGGCGAGACGAAGCAGCCGGCCGAUCGUCGCGGCCUGCCGCGGCAGCGGGCAGCCAAUGAGGUGGAGGUGAUCCAACAAGGCAUCCGGAGUGCCAUGGCUACACCGAGUUGUCGGGUAAUGCUGCGGCAUGGGGACUCCAGAUCAGUGGCAUCGCUGAACCGGUACAAAAAUGGUGAGCGGUGCACCCUUGGGCAGGAGUUUCGCGAGGUGAUCCAUCUUGAGUAAAAGCGGACCUCGAAGAGGGCUGGCGAGCAAAGCAAGGUGGCGCCUUUGCAGGCCACCCGACGCCUUUCAGUUGUCAUCUCAGGACGCGCCCCACGCGCUUGGCGUGCAUGCGUGCGCGUGUUUGUUUCGCGUGUGUGCCACCCUCGCUUUGCUCUUCGUUGGCGAUGAGCGAGAAACCGUUGGUGGCAGCGGCCGGGGAUGGCGUACUCAGCAAUGCAAGUGUGAGGAGGACAAGCUGCCGACUUGCCGGCCGCCGACGACGCGACCGUCGCUCUGGUGCGGUGGCAAGAUUCGCGCCGUACCCUCUCCCUGGUCCGUGCCUUCACCCCCCCCCCACCACCACCACCACUGCCUCUUCGCUGUUGCGGAUGCUUUCUCACCCUUAGCCUCCGACCGACCCACCCGACGCCGCGGCCUUCCCUCUCCCCAUGAUGAUGAACUCCGUUUUUCUUUUCGCUCUGGUUGCAUACUUAAACCGGUGAAACGCAGUGGGGGUGGGGAGGGGGGAAGCACGCAGACACCCACCGCUCAGUGCGUGGCAUCAGAGGGUCCGGCCCCACCGCACCCCCCCCCUCCCCUCCACUCCCGACUCUCUGCGUGUGUGAGGGAGGAAGCCCAGCAGCCCCCACCUCACCCUCCCCAAUGCCGAGCCACUCCUGGUGGUGGUGGCAGGGCCCGGUGCCCGCGACGCAGCGAGGUCAGAGCAAUUCAGCGCUACUGAUGUUGUCGGUCAAGGCCCUGCGUGGCGCUGCGUCGACGCCACCUGCGCAGCGGGCAGAGUGCGAGGCAGGGGCCGUGCUCUCAGGCGACUGCAUCGGCGCCUUGCUGGACCGGCGUGUGUCGACGGCUGCCAUGGUCCCACGCGAGGUGGGGCCUGUGUGACAGGGCCGUGGGUGGCAGCGUGGGGCGUUGGACCCCACGUUGUGUGGCAGAGAAGCGGACUCAUGAUUACGAAGCUAGGAAAAGCGGGCGUGUUCGUGUGUUUAGUACGUGAGGGGAGGGUGCGGGUGCAGGUGCGUGUUUGCGCGGCGGUGAUUUGUUUUUUUUUCCGUCGUUCAUUGUUGAGUUGUUAUCAUGUCUCUCAAGCUUCUCUACCUCUCGCUAUUAUUGAUGAUGUCACACCAGCACGAGCACCAGCGCCCCCUGCCUCUCUACCCCCUUUUGCUUUACUCAUUCUCUCGUGCGCUUGAAGAGUACCUCCUUGGUACCUCAGCGCAGUACACCUCAAGCACUUAC
This 5347-nucleotide unclassified non-coding RNA is filed under the name Leishmania donovani. Its description in RNAcentral is "gene:LdHU3.21.1920(CDS-product:hypothetical_prote in_conserved)". Lineage: Eukaryota; Euglenozoa; Kinetoplastea; Trypanosomatida; Trypanosomatidae. The record is from RNAcentral.